UGGGGAAUAUUGCACAAUGGGCGCAAGCCUGAUGCAGCCAUCCCGCGUGUGCGAUGAAGGCCUUCGGGUUGUAAAGCACUUUUGGCAGGAAAGAAACGUCGCGGGUUAAUACCCCGCGAAACUGACGGUACCUGCAGAAUAAGCACCGGCUAACUACGUGCCAGCAGCCGCGGUAAUACGUAGGGUGCAAGCGUUAAUCGGAAUUACUGGGCGUAAAGCGUGCGCAGGCGGUUCGGAAAGAAAGAUGUGAAAUCCCAGAGCUUAACUUUGGAACUGCAUUUUUAACUACCGGGCUAGAGUGUGUCAGAGGGAGGUGGAAUUCCGCGUGUAGCAGUGAAAUGCGUAGAUAUGCGGAGGAACACCGAUGGCGAAGGCAGCCUCCUGGGAUAACACUGACGCUCAUGCACGAAAGCGUGGGGAGCAAACAGGAUUAGAUACCCUGGUAGUCCACGCCCUAAACGAUGUCAACUAGCUGUUGGGCCUUCGGGCCUUGGUAGCGCAGCUAACGCGUGAAGUUGACCGCCUGGGGAGUACGGUCGCAAGAUUAAAAGCUCAAAUGAAUUGA
This 565-nucleotide ribosomal RNA is filed under the name uncultured bacterium. RNAcentral describes it as "partial 16S ribosomal RNA". It matches the Rfam family "Bacterial small subunit ribosomal RNA", at positions 355 to 913 of the family's 1533-position model. The record is from RNAcentral.